AAAAAAUUUCAUAUCCAAUCCACCUCAUGUGUUUUAUGUGAUGAUGAACCAAAUGAGCACUUGAUGCACCUCUUUUUCAGCUGUGAUUUCAGUCAGAAUUUCUGGAUGAAUAUUGGCAUCCAAUGGAAUACAGAUUUUGAUCUUCUUGAAAUGUUGUUGGAUGGCAAGAGACACAACAAUAUUAAGUGCUAUAAGGAAUGUUUGAUUGCAGGUUGUUGGAGCUUAUGGAAGCACAGGAACAAUAUCAUAUUUGAUCAUAAGGAAAAGAAUAUGGCAUAUUGUAUCAGUACAUUCAAACAACACCUUGAUAUGAUUAUCAAAAAAGCAAAGCCUAGUUUGAAGGAAGGAAUGCAGAGCUGGCUGGACUAUUUGUAG
RNAcentral lists this ribosomal RNA (375 nucleotides) under Triticum aestivum (bread wheat). Its description in RNAcentral is "partial small subunit ribosomal RNA". The record is from RNAcentral. Lineage: Eukaryota; Viridiplantae; Streptophyta; Magnoliopsida; Poales; Poaceae.